GAUGAACGCUGGCGGCGUGCCUAAUACAUGCAAGUCGAGCGAACGGACGAGAAGCUUGCUUCUCUGAUGUUAGCGGCGGACGGGUGAGUAACACGUGGAUAACCUACCUAUAAGACUGGGAUAACUUCGGGAAACCGGAGCUAAUACCGGAUAAUAUUUUGAACCGCAUGGUUCAAAAGUGAAAGACGGUCUUGCUGUCACUUAUAGAUGGAUCCGCGCUGCAUUAGCUAGUUGAUAAGGUAACGGCUUACCAAGGCAACGAUGCAUAGCCGACCCGAGAGGGUGAUCGGCCACACUGGAACUGGGACACGGUCCAGACGCCUACGGGAGGCGGCAGUAGGGAAUCUUCCGCAAUGGGCGAAAGCCUGACGGGGCAACGCCGCGUGAGUGAUGAAGGUCUUCGGAUCGUAAAACUCUGUUAUUAGGGAAGAACAUAUGUGUAAGUAACUGUGCACAUCUUGACGGUACCUAAUCAGAAAGCCACGGCUAACUACGUG
This 497-nucleotide ribosomal RNA is filed under the name uncultured bacterium. RNAcentral describes it as "partial 16S ribosomal RNA". It matches the Rfam family "Bacterial small subunit ribosomal RNA", at positions 28 to 507 of the family's 1533-position model. The record is from RNAcentral.